This is an RNA transcript of Prinia subflava (tawny-flanked prinia), 2462 nucleotides long. RefSeq lists it as uncharacterized. The transcript is spliced from 5 exons. The record is from RefSeq and is a predicted model, not a curated record. NCBI's taxonomy places the organism in Eukaryota, Metazoa, Chordata, Aves, Passeriformes, Cisticolidae.
CCCGGGAGCAGCCGUACGAGGCGGGCGGCAGGAAGGGAGCGGCGGCGGCGGCGGCGGCGCCGGGCGGGCCCUGCAGUGCUCCGGGGCAGCCUGACUGAAAGCGCAUCAAUUCGCAGAGAAAAAGCUCUCGGUGUUCAGAACGACCCUGGAAUCUACACAGGGGCCAGCUCCGGCAAAUCUUCUGAGCAGGGUCGAGCUGGAAAAUGCCGGUUUGAAGCCUGACGGGACAACAGCAUCCAAACCAAGCAGUUUACGGGGAAAUCACAGCUAGAAAGGGCACUGAAAGGACAAGAAACAGAGAGCUCGGGGAGACCUUUGCCUUGCAGAACCACACCGGGGAGCUGGCAAGAGAUGACGAAACACAAACCUGGAAUCAGUUUCAAGGCCCUGUGAUGUUUCCUGGGGAGGUGUCCUCACCCCACGAUGUUCAGCCAUCCAACAACAGGCUUGGUUUGGUUUUGAGUUCAUGGUCUCUGCUAAACUCUGCAGGCUGCAAACUGAGGGUUAACAUUUUGGAUUAUUUAUACUGAUAUUUUCUCAGUGCAAUUCUAUGCUGCUGAGUGUAGUGGAGCCCCUGGACCUGGCCACAAAGCAAGGAAUAAAUCAUGGUUCAUCACAAGCUAUAGUUGCUGCAGCUCUUUAGGCUGCUGGGAGCAAACACCCUGGCUGAAAGGAGCAGUGUCUGCUCUAUGUCCACUUCUCACUGUUUUUUUAUGGCUGCUGUGCUGGCACAAGUGUUUCUGUGGCUGACUGGGGCACUAAUCCGGCUGGAGAAGAACACCCUCUUCCCAAUCCCUUUUUUUUCUCCCCUUUUUCUUAUCCCCUCAGGUUAGCUUUAGCCUGGGCCUGCCCAGCCCCUUCCUGAGUGAGAGCUUGUUAGUGACUGAUUAGCCAAAGUUUGGAUAAAAGCUUCAUUGUUUGUAACCCCUGUAAACUACCCGGAGCUGUGCUCCUAAUAAAAGUGGGAUUAAAUAGACACCUUGGGAGUGAGACAGUUGCAAGUGGGAAUUUCAGAGUUUUGAGGGAUGGAGGGAUGUGGCCAGGCUUCAGUAACUCUGUGCAUCAGAAGUGAUUUUAGCAAAACUGGCAAAGAAGCCUGACUUUUGUGUUUUUUUUGGGGAAAAGGAACCUGGUGGGAGACAGAAGGAAGUCACCUGUUAGUGGCUGGAUUAAGAACACGCUCCAGGGGUUUGGAAACAUGUUUGCAGAAGUUCUCAGCACCCUGUAUUCCUCCAGCCCCUCCUGGAGGAAUGCAGAUUUUAAGAUUCGUAAAAAGUAUUCUAAAAUCCUCACUCUGACCACAUGAAUUUAAUCCUUCUUCAUUUUAUUUUUGCAACAGUAAAAAAGUUCACUUGGCAAUGAUAUGUGCCUGGCUUGAUACUAUUGGGUUGUAUCUUUUUUGGGAAGAAUGUUAAGCAAGGGGAUUCUUCCCUCCUGCCUAAAGCAAGAAAUUGGCCUGGGCUGGAAUAAAGCAUCUCUGUGCUUUUAGAAUGUUUUUUGUGUGUAAUGGGAUAUUUGAAACAGAGCUUGGUGCUCUGGGCUGGUUAUUCCAUAGUGAUCACACCUAUAGGGUAAGGUAAAGGCCAAAAUCUUUUGGUCCUAAUUCAUCUGAAUAAGCCACCUCCACUCUGGAAUGAGCAAUAGAAACAGAAAAACAUAAAUUUAUGGUCGGCUAAGGUAAAAAUAAUCAAAACUAUUAGUAGAUAAAGGCAGUGGCUGCCAUCACCACCACCACAAGGAAAUGGAGGAGUAUUAAAUUAGUAUUUCUUUUCCAUGUUUGUCCGGGGCAGAAAAAAAUCAGAUAGAGUGUUAGUUUCAGGUUCUGGUGAAAGAGCAUUUUGGGCUCCAUUAAUUACUAGGGAUUAUAUUAAAUAGCAACCACAUAAAUGAAAUAUUUUAUGAUCAGCCACUCCUGGUAAUUCACAGCCAAGGGUUUUAGAACUCUCUGAACCAGGAACAUAUUGUGUGGGCCAUUAAUGCUGGCUUUUCAUUUUGGGACACUGGGAGGGUUUUAGAGCACUAAGAAAGCUGAUAUUGGCUCAUUAUUUAAAAGCUUUGGGCAAAUGAUUUAGUGAUGCUCAGACUUUCAGCCCUUCAUUGUUAAAGCCAAGAACUGUAUAGGUGCAUCUCUUAAUUAAUGCUUAAUUUCCUUCUUAAAGGAAGGCAAUGAAACUGAUGCCAAUGAGUGUGUGUAGAUGAAAAAUAGACCUUGUCAAAUUAAUUUGCUGUUGUUCUCAAGCAAGAGGGAGUAACCCGUGAUGUAACUGAUUUCUGAAAGUGUUUGAUUUGUUCCAUCUUGGAGGUGGAUUUUACAAAUUGGUAUAAAAUCACCAUGGUGCAAAUUAAGUGGAUCCAAUUGGUUACACCAAGAUCUCAGAAUUUCACAGUGAAAAAUGAAUCCUUGAGUCUCUUCUCAGGGAAAUUUGGUGGAAAUAGGUUCAUUAUUCUGUUUCUGUCAUCAA